Molecule: ribosomal RNA, 668 nt
Filed under: uncultured Acidobacteriota bacterium
Lineage: Bacteria; Pseudomonadati; Acidobacteriota
Description: bacterial SSU rRNA
Rfam family: Bacterial small subunit ribosomal RNA
Source: RNAcentral
GAUCCUGGCUCAGAAUCAACGCUGGCGGCGUGCCUAACACAUGCAAGUCGAACGCGAAAGGGGAGCAAUCCCUGAGUAGAGUGGCAAACGGGUGAGUAACACGUGGGUGACCUGCCUUCGAGUGGGGGAUAACGUUCCGAAAGGAACGCUAAUACCGCAUGACAUCCUGCUUUUGGAAAAGCGGAGAUCAAAGCUGGGGAUUCGCAAGAACCUAGCGCUUGAAGAGGGGCCCGCGCCUUAUUAGCUAGUUGGUGAGGUAACGGCUCACCAAGGCUACGAUCAGUAUCCGGCCUGAGAGGGCGGACGGACACACUGGGACUGAGACACGGCCCAGACUCCUACGGGAGGCAGCAGUGGGGAAUUGUUCGCAAUGGGCGCAAGCCUGACGACGCAACGCCGCGUGGAGGAUGAAGAUUUUCGGAUCGUAAACUCCUGUCGAGUGGGAAGAAUAGCUUUGGGGCGAAUAUCCCCGAGGUCUGACGGUACCACCGGAGGAAGCCCCGGCUAACUCCGUGCCAACCGCCCGGGGUAAUACGGGGGGGGCAAGCGUUGUUCGGAAUUACUGGGCGUAAAGGGCUCGUAGGCGGCCCACUAAGUCAGACGUGAAAUCCCCAGGCUCAACCUGGGAACUGCGUCUGAUACUGGAUGGCUUGAAUUCGGGAGAGGGA